RNAcentral lists this long non-coding RNA (1222 nucleotides) under Cavia porcellus (domestic guinea pig). RNAcentral describes it as "lncRNA (ENSCPOG00000039956.1)". The record is from RNAcentral. Lineage: Eukaryota; Metazoa; Chordata; Mammalia; Rodentia; Caviidae.
UUGGAAAGUACUGGCAGAUGCAAAAGAGCGCCUUGGAAUGAACCCCGCACAUGCUGUUUUCUCUGCAGGUUCAAGGCCUGGGAGGAGAAAGAGAAGUCGGCCAGAGCCAGAUCUCAAGAGCCCAUGGAGGUGCCAGCUCUCCGUGAUCUCCAUACCGAGCCCGGGGUGGGUGACCUGCUGCUGUGACACACGGACCCUAGAUGAGCCGAAUUCCUCCCAGGUUCUCUGUUUCUUUCUUGUUGCAUCAUCUGUCUCAAAUUUUCUACUCUCUUAAUUCUCCCAGCUCACUGACAUUUUUACAAUGGGUCUAACCUUAUUAUUUGGUUGUUAGUCACUUAAUAUCUGCGACUGGCUUUUUCAUUGCAUCUCUGCUGCCUGAGGUGGGACACUGGUUUCCAGUGCAUCCCAGUGGCUGAGUCCUGACAGCUGACUUCACCCCGAGCUCCUAGGUGCCUGACCAGCCGACAGCCGGGCCAUCGCUGCUCUCUGUGGAGCGUCAGGAUGUCAGCUGGCUGUGCUGCCUGUUGACAAGAACUCAGGUCCUGGCCUCCCAUUCUGUUCAUGCUUAUUGCGUUUCAUGCCAUUUCCAUUAUACAGAGCAACUGUGUUUUGUAUUUGUUCUAAUUAAAUAGUAGCAAAUGUUCAGUUCAGUGGGUUCUUCCUAUGAAAUGACUCAACAGCCUCCUCCCUCCUCCAAGGAAGUCUGAAAGCAGAUGUUAGCUCAUAUUGUAGAGCUAAACACUGCGCUUGUGUGACCGAAGCCAGCCCAGAUGCUACGGGACAGCUGAGCAUCCUGCUGGGAGUUGUCGUGGUCUAAUGUGCAGCCUUGGCCCUACUUAUUUAAUCCUGGGAUGGGCCCUUCCUUGCUACACCUGUGAGCCUCCAUCUCCCGAGGCAGCCUUGAAGCUCUUGAGGUCUGUGGAAGAAACAAAUGGAGCCCACAGUGCGGGGCGGGGGUGUUUGCAGCCCUCCUUAUUCCCGACUUUUGUCAAUGCUUAAAUCACCCCCUAGAGUGGGUAUGCAAUGCUGUCCCACUCAGGAAGCCUUGGUACUGAUAGCUGGGGUGACGGUGAAGUAUGCGCAUUGUGUGAACAGGGUGGACCAAUCAGGUCGCCAGAGCAAGGGCGUGGGGUGAGACUGAGAACCAGCGUGAGGACCUGGGGAAGCACCCAAAGGUCAAGGCGGCAGCAGGAAGCCAGCUCCUGCAGAGCUGAGAGCUGUU